Non-coding RNA from Enterococcus sp., 194 nucleotides. The record is from Rfam. NCBI's taxonomy places the organism in Bacteria, Bacillati, Bacillota, Bacilli, Lactobacillales, Enterococcaceae.
GUAAAUCUGUGAUGUACGCGUUGUCUUUUUUGUGUGUUGACCGAACAUUUUAUUGAUAUCUAGGGAUCCUUCUGGUACCUAAGCUGGUAACAUGCCUUAUCAUUUGGUAGUUCGAAGUUGAUGGUCGUGGAACCCACCUGCUUUGUUUGCGGGUUCAAUACUAUAGGACGAAUAACGGCAUCGACGGAUUUUAC